UACAGAGGUCCCAAGCGUUGUUCGGAUUCACUGGGCGUAAAGGGUGCGUAGGUGGCCUGGUCAGUCUGAUGUGAGAUCUCCGAGCUCAACUCGGAAAUGGCAUUGGAUACUAUCGGGCUGGAGGGUUGGAGGGGGGACUGGAAUUCUCGGUGUAGCAGUGAAAUGCGUAGAUAUCGAGAGGAACACCAGUGGCGAAGGCGAGUCCCUGGACAACACCUGACACUGAGGCACGAAAGCUAGGGGAGCAAACAGG
This 253-nucleotide ribosomal RNA is filed under the name uncultured prokaryote. RNAcentral describes it as "partial 16S ribosomal RNA". It matches the Rfam family "Bacterial small subunit ribosomal RNA", at positions 524 to 776 of the family's 1533-position model. The record is from RNAcentral.